RNAcentral lists this ribosomal RNA (146 nucleotides) under uncultured Syntrophomonas sp. RNAcentral describes it as "partial 16S ribosomal RNA". It matches the Rfam family "Bacterial small subunit ribosomal RNA", at positions 1236 to 1382 of the family's 1533-position model. The record is from RNAcentral. Lineage: Bacteria; Bacillati; Bacillota; Clostridia; Eubacteriales; Syntrophomonadaceae.
GGUACAAUUGGUUGCCAAGCCGCGAGGCGGAGCCAAUCCAUAAAGCCAUUCUCAGUUCGGAUUGGAGUCUGCAACUCGACUCCAUGAAGUCGGAAUCGCUAGUAAUCGCGAAUCAGCAUGUCGCGGUGAAUGCGUUCCCGGGCCUU